RNAcentral lists this ribosomal RNA (894 nucleotides) under Cordyceps sp. RNAcentral describes it as "partial large subunit ribosomal RNA". It matches the Rfam family "Eukaryotic large subunit ribosomal RNA", at positions 36 to 962 of the family's 3401-position model. Lineage: Eukaryota; Fungi; Ascomycota; Sordariomycetes; Hypocreales; Cordycipitaceae. The record is from RNAcentral.
UAGCAUAUCAAUAAGCGGAGGAAAAGAAACCAACAGGGAUUGCCCCAGUAACGGCGAGUGAAGCGGCAACAGCUCAAAUUUGAAAUCUGGCCUCCGGGUCCGAGUUGUAAUUUGCAGAGGAUGCUUUUGGCGAGGUGCCUUCCGAGUUCCCUGGAACGGGACGCCAUAGAGGGUGAGAGCCCCGUCUGGUCGGACACCGAGCCUCUGUAAAGCUCCUUCGACGAGUCGAGUAGUUUGGGAAUGCUGCUCAAAAUGGGAGGUAUAUGUCUUCUAAAGCUAAAUAUUGGCCAGAGACCGAUAGCGCACAAGUAGAGUGAUCGAAAGAUGAAAAGCACUUUGAAAAGAGGGUUAAAAAGUACGUGAAAUUGUUGAAAGGGAAGCGCCUAUGACCAGACUUGGGCCCGGUGAAUCACCCAGCGUUCUCGCUGGUGCACUUUGCCGGGCACAGGCCAGCAUCAGUUUGGCGCGGGGGAUAAAGGUUUCGGGAAUGUGGCUCCCUCGGGAGUGUUAUAGCCCGUUGCGUAAUACCCUGCGCCGGACUGAGGUACGCGCAUUGCAAGGAUGCUGGCGUAAUGGUCAUCAGCGACCCGUCUUGAAACACGGACCAAGGAGUCGUCUUCGUAUGCGAGUGUUCGGGUGUCAAACCCCUACGCGUAAUGAAAGUGAACGUAGGUGAGAGCUUCGGCGCAUCACCGACCGAUCCUGAUGUUCUCGGAUGGAUUUGAGUAAGAGCAUACGGGGCCGGACCCGAAAGAAGGUGAACUAUGCCUGUAUAGGGUGAAGCCAGAGGAAACUCUGGUGGAGGCUCGCAGCGGUUCUGACGUGCGAAUCGAUCGUCAAAUAUGGGCAUGGGGGCGAAAGACUAAUCGAACCUUCUAGUAGCUGGUUUCCGCG